AUUGUACUCCCUCCGUCCGGAAAUACUUGUCGGAGGAAUGGAUGUAUCUAGAUGUAUUUUAGUUUUAGAUACAUCCAUUUUUAUGCAUUUCUCCGACAAGUAUUUCCGGAUGGAGUAGUUAGAUA
This is a non-coding RNA of Triticum aestivum (bread wheat), 125 nucleotides long. Lineage: Eukaryota; Viridiplantae; Streptophyta; Magnoliopsida; Poales; Poaceae. The record is from Rfam.